UUUUUGUGGAGGGUUCGAUUCUGGCUCAGGAUGAACGCUGGCGGCGUGCUUAACACAUGCAAGUCGAACGGGAUCCCAGGAGCUUGCUCCUGGGUGAGAGUGGCGAACGGGUGAGUAAUGCGUGACCGACCUGCCCCAUACACCGGAAUAGCUCCUGGAAACGGGUGGUAAUGCCGGAUGCUCCAGUUGACCGCAUGGUCCUCUGGGAAAGCUUUUGC
This 218-nucleotide ribosomal RNA is filed under the name Bifidobacterium adolescentis. RNAcentral's name for it is "partial 16S ribosomal RNA". It matches the Rfam family "Bacterial small subunit ribosomal RNA", at positions 1 to 213 of the family's 1533-position model. Lineage: Bacteria; Bacillati; Actinomycetota; Actinomycetes; Bifidobacteriales; Bifidobacteriaceae. The record is from RNAcentral.